AGUCGGACCUGCCCGGUGAGAAGUUUUCUUUAACGGCCGCGGUACUCUGACCGUGCAAAGGUAGCAUAAUCAUUUGCCUUAUAAUUGAAGGCUAGUAUGAAUGGUUUGACAAGAAUGUAGCUGUCUCUUUUUAAUUUAGUAGAAUUUUAUUUUUAGGUGAAAAAGCCUAGAUGUUAUUAAAAGACAAGAAGACCCUAUCGAGCUUUAAAGAAUUUAGUGGAUGAAAUAAUGAUUUUAGUUUAUCUAUAGAUUUUAUAAAAGAUGAUGCUAUUAAAUUAUUUUGGUUGGGGCGACUGAGGAACAUAAAAAGCUUCCUUUAGAUAAUUUAUACAUACUGGUGUUGAUCCAAAUUUGUUGAUUAAUGGAAUUAGUUACCGUAGGGAUAACAGCAUUAUCUUCCUUGAGAGUUCAUAUCGAAAGGAGGGUUUGUGACCUCGAUGUUGGACCAGAAUGUCCUAAAGAUGCAGAAGUCUUUGAGGGUUGGUCUGUUCGACCAUUAAAAUUCUA
RNAcentral lists this ribosomal RNA (507 nucleotides) under Hastula aff. acumen JG-2019. Its description in RNAcentral is "partial 16S ribosomal RNA". It matches the Rfam family "Bacterial large subunit ribosomal RNA", at positions 1851 to 2598 of the family's 2925-position model. Lineage: Eukaryota; Metazoa; Mollusca; Gastropoda; Neogastropoda; Terebridae. The record is from RNAcentral.